Molecule: ribosomal RNA, 469 nt
Filed under: uncultured bacterium
Lineage: Bacteria
Description: SSU rRNA
Rfam family: Bacterial small subunit ribosomal RNA
Source: RNAcentral
AGGACGAACGCUGGCGGCGUGCUUAACACAUGCAAGUCGAGCGGAAAGGCCCUUCGGGGUACUCGAGCGGCGAACGGGUGAGUAACACGUGAGUAAUCUGCCCCUAGCUCUGGGAUAGCUCCGGGAAACCGGGAUUAAUACCAGAUACGACCACUUUAGACAUCUGUUGUGGUGGAAAGAAUUUUGGCUAGGGAUGAGCUCGCGGCCUAUCAGCUUGUUGGUGAGGUAACGGCUCACCAAGGCGACGACGGGUAGCCGGCCUGAGAGGGCGACCGGCCACACUGGGACUGAGACACGGCCCAGACUCCUACGGGAGGCAGCAGUGGGGAAUAUUGCGCAAUGGGCGAAAGCCUGACGCAGCGACGCCGCGUGGGGGAUGAAGCCCCUUGGGGUGUAAACUCCUUUCGAUCGGGAAGAUAAUGACGGUACCGAUAUAAGAAGCCCCGGCUAACUUCGCGCCAGCAGCCGC